CCGCGAGAUGCCGGCAGGGGGCAGCGGUAAGACGGAGGGUGCGAGCGUGGUCCGGGAGUAUUGGGCGGAAAGGGCUGGUGGUCGGUUGUGGGCGUCGGGAGUGAAAACCUCAUGCUUAACAUGUGGCUUGCUUUCGAUACGGGCAGACUGGAGGUAUGCAGGGGAGAACGGAAUUCCUGGUGUAGCGGUGAAAUGCGCAGAUAUCAGGAGGAACACCGGUGGCGAAGGCGGUUCUCUGGGCAUUACCUGACGCUGAGGAGCGAAAGUGUGGGGAGCGAACAGGAUAGAUACCCUUGUAGUC
RNAcentral lists this ribosomal RNA (301 nucleotides) under uncultured Pyrobaculum sp. RNAcentral describes it as "bacterial SSU rRNA". It matches the Rfam family "Bacterial small subunit ribosomal RNA", at positions 493 to 795 of the family's 1533-position model. Lineage: Archaea; Thermoproteati; Thermoproteota; Thermoprotei; Thermoproteales; Thermoproteaceae. The record is from RNAcentral.